RNAcentral lists this ribosomal RNA (419 nucleotides) under Salmonella enterica. Its description in RNAcentral is "partial 23S ribosomal RNA". It matches the Rfam family "Bacterial large subunit ribosomal RNA", at positions 2515 to 2925 of the family's 2925-position model. The record is from RNAcentral. Lineage: Bacteria; Pseudomonadati; Pseudomonadota; Gammaproteobacteria; Enterobacterales; Enterobacteriaceae.
UGUUUGGCACCUCGAUGUCGGCUCAUCACAUCCUGGGGCUGAAGUAGGUCCCAAGGGUAUGGCUGUUCGCCAUUUAAAGUGGUACGCGAGCUGGGUUUAGAACGUCGUGAGACAGUUCGGUCCCUAUCUGCCGUGGGCGCUGGAGAACUGAGGGGGGCUGCUCCUAGUACGAGAGGACCGGAGUGGACGCAUCACUGGUGUUCGGGUUGUCAUGCCAAUGGCACUGCCCGGUAGCUAAAUGCGGAAGAGAUAAGUGCUGAAAGCAUCUAAGCACGAAACUUGCCCCGAGAUGAGUUCUCCCUGAGACUUUAGGUCUCCUGAAGGAACGUUGAAGACGACGACGUUGAUAGGCCGGGUGUGUAAGCGCAGCGAUGCGUUGAGCUAACCGGUACUAAUGAACCGUGAGGCUUAACCUUACA